GAUGAACGCUGGCGGCGUGCCUAAUACAUGCGAGUCGAGCGAACGGACGAGAAGCUUGCUUCUCUGAUGUUAGCGGCGGACGGGUGAGUAACACGUGGAUAACCUACCUAUAAGACUGGGAUAACUUCGGGAAACCGGAGCUAAUACCGGAUAAUAUUUUGAACCGCAUGGUUCAAAAGUGAAAGACGGUCUUGCUGUCACUUACAGAUGGAUCCGCGCUGCAUUAGCUAGUUGGUAAGGUAACGGCUUACCAAGGCAACGAUGCAUAGCCGACCUGAGAGGGUGAUCGGCCACACUGGAACUGAGACACGGUCCAGACUCCUACGGGAGGCAGCAGUAGGGAAUCUUCCGCAAUGGGCGAAAGCCUGACGGAGCAACGCCGCGUGAGUGAUGAAGGUCUUCGGAUCGUAAAACUCUGUUAUUAGGGAAGAACAUAUGUGUAAGUAACUGUGCACAUCUUGACGGUACCUAAUCAGAAAGCCACGGCUAACUACGUG
RNAcentral lists this ribosomal RNA (497 nucleotides) under uncultured bacterium. RNAcentral's name for it is "partial 16S ribosomal RNA". It matches the Rfam family "Bacterial small subunit ribosomal RNA", at positions 28 to 507 of the family's 1533-position model. The record is from RNAcentral.